Molecule: ribosomal RNA, 515 nt
Filed under: uncultured bacterium
Lineage: Bacteria
Description: bacterial SSU rRNA
Rfam family: Bacterial small subunit ribosomal RNA
Source: RNAcentral
GAUGAACGCUGGCGGCGUGCCUCAAACAUGCAAGUCGAGCGGGGCUAUGUAAUAUCGCAAGGUAGAACAUAGCCUAGCGGCGAACGGGUGAGUAACACGUGGGUAACCUGCCUGGAAGACAGGGAUAACGAUUCGAAAGGGUCGCUAAUACCUGAUAAUAUCCUUUCAUCGCAUGGUGAUAGGAAGAAAGGGGAAACCCGCUUUCAGAUGGGCCCGCGUCCCAUCAGCUAGUUGGUAAGGUAAAGGCUUACCAAGGCGACGACGGGUAGCCGGUCUGAGAGGAUGUACGGCCACACUGGGACUGAGAUACGGCCCAGACUCCUACGGGAGGCAGCAGUGGGGAAUUUUGGACAAAUGGACGAAAGUCUGAUCCAGCAAUGCCGCGUGCAGGACGAAAGGCCUUCGGGUUGUAAACUAGCUUUUGUACAGAACGAAAAGUACUUAAUAAACACUAGAAGGUCAUACGGUACUGUAAGAAUAAAGACACCGGCUAACUAACGUUGCCAGCAGCCGAC